This is a long non-coding RNA of Oncorhynchus tshawytscha (Chinook salmon), 3127 nucleotides long. The record is from Ensembl. Lineage: Eukaryota; Metazoa; Chordata; Actinopteri; Salmoniformes; Salmonidae.
CCCCUCCCAGGGUGAUGUCCCUUAACUUUAAUACCAUAUAAGCUCAUAAUUAAUAGUUUCUAAUACAAAGAUGUUAGAUGUUGCAGUUACUUUCAAAGAUGUUGCAGUUAGUUUCCCAAUCCUUCUUCCUCCUAUUGCUAUCAUGUGUUAGCAGAUGUAAGACAGCAGGUAGUGGUUAGAGCAUCAGGCCAGUAACCGAAAGAAUGCAAGAUCGAAUCCCGAGCUGACAAGGUAAAAAUCUGUUGUUCUGCCCCUGAACAAGGCAGUUAACCCACUGUUCUUAGGCCGUCAUUGUAAAUAAGAAUUUGUUCUUAACUGACUUGCCUAGCGAAAUAAAAGGUCAAAUAAACAGGAACUGAAAGUAUAGUUCACAGGCAUAUUACUUUUGUACAGUUGACCUCUUCAUGCACUUACAAAGUGUCUACCACUGAUUCUUAACCUCAAGAUUAAGCAAAACAUGAAUCAUUGUACUUUUGUAAUUACAGGUGUUCCUAUAAUGGACAGAUAUUAUAACAUUUCUUUCAACCCCUAGGCUAAUGACUUCUCCAAAAGCUAAUUGGAGUCAGGAGUCAGCUAACCUGGAGUCCAAUCAAUAAGACGAGAUUCGUUGACUUGACAAACUGGCAACAGACAAAUAGAGAACACAGGUAUAAAUACACGGGUUGAUAAUGAGGGAAAUGGGCGACACCUGGAGGGGGAUGGAGACCCCUAGCCUAGGGGUUCACAUACUUUUUCCAACCUACACUGUGAAUGUUUAAAUGAUGUAUUCAAUGUAGAUAAGAAAUAUACAAUCAUUGAUGUUUUAUUAGUUUAAGCACACUAAUGUUUGUCUAUUGGUGUGACUUAGAUGAAGAUCAGAUCUGUCACACCCUGGUCUGUUUCACCGGUCUUUGUGAUUGUCGCCCAUCUCCCUCAUUAUCAACCUGUGCGUUUAUACCUGUGUUCUGUUUGUCUGUUGCCAGUUUGUCAAGUCAAACAGCGCUUUGUUCUCAGCUCCUGCUUUUCCCAGGCUCUCUUUUUCUCGCCCUCCUGGUUUUGACCCCUGCCUGUCCUGACCCUGCCUGCCGACCUGUACCUUUGCCCCACCUCUGGAUUAUUGACCUCUGCCUACCCUGAGCCUGCCUCUGUCCGACCUGAGCCCUAGGACCAUGCCUCAGGACUACCUGGCACGAUGACUCCUUGCUGUCCCCAGUCCACCUGGCCGUGCUGCUGCUCCAGUUUCAACUGUUCUGCCUGUGAUUAUUAUUAUUCGACCAUGCUGGUCAUUUAUGAACAUUUGAACAUCUUGGCCAUGUUCUGUUAUAAUCUCCACCCGGCACAGCCAGAAGAGGACUGGACACCCCACAUAGCCUGGUUCCUCUCUAGGUUUAUUCCUAGGUUUUGGCCUUUCUAGGGAGUUUUUCCUAGCCACCAUGCUUAUACACCUGCAUUGCUUGCUGUUUGGGGUUUUAGGCUGGGUUUCUGUACAGCACUUUGAGAUAUCAGCUGAUGUACGAAGGGCUAUAUAAAUACAUUUGAUUUGAUUCACAACCUCUCCUUUGGGAAUUCACCACCAUAACUACUACAGCUAUUUCUAAACUAUCUUAAAGUAACAUGUGGGUUCUUCUGGGGGACUAAGGUUAGGAACACCUUUGAAUGGUCUACAAAGCAUGCCCCCAGGUAAAAGUAGGCUUUUUCAGAGAAUGGUUGGAUUGUUACUCCUCAGCAUAAUAUGUUAUCACAACUCUAUUUAAAGUACAUUUGAAACAAGCCGUCACGUCAUUCUUGCUAUUUGAUAGGAACUAGCCUCUAUCCCCCUACAUACCUCGUUUGCUCUUUCAGGCCCACAAAGACAAGAAAAAAAGUUACCCCAUUAACUGCUCCUCUGAGAUUUGAACUCUCAAACCCUCACUUUGGGGAUCAACCACCAUAACCACUACUCUACCAGACAGAGUCAAAAUGUUAAGGGCUACUUGAAAAUGCCCACAAAGAGAGGUUGGGGUAUGGUGUGGGGGCUUGCACUUCUUGGUUCAACCAUUCCUCAAACUUCUUCUGAUGACUACAAGCAUAGAUUAUGAAUCUUCAAAACCUACACUAUAGGAUGGAUGUUUAGGAAUGGGGGACUAAAUUCAAAAGGUACGAGUUUCCAAUUACCAGCAAAUAGAACACCAGAAAUGUUAUACCAUCAUCUUAUUAUUGUACCUUUUUCCCUUCAUUUGCCUACUACUGUUUCUAAGCUAUCAUAACAUGUGUUUUUUUUUCUCCAUGGGGACCAGGUAUCGGAACCCCUUUGACUGGUCUACAAAGCAUGCCCCUAGGUAAAAGUAGCCAUUUGCAGAGAAGGUUUGUAUCAAAUCCAAAUUAAAGUUUGUUACACCAUCACAUAAUCUGAUGUGUCAUUUCAAUAGUGUUGUGAUAUGUUACAAGGUGAAUGGAGUCUUCGCCCUUUCUCUGACACCACCUAGUAGUGGGGCAAAAAAGUAUUUAGUCAGCCACCAAUUGUGCAAGUUCUCCUACUUAAAAAGAUGAGGCCUGAAAUUUUCAUCAUAGGUACACUUCAACUAUGACAGACUAAAUGAGGGGGGGAAAAAAUCCAGAAAAUCACAUUGUAGGAUUUGUAAUGAAUUUAUUUGCAAAUUAUGGUGGAAAAUAAGUAUUUGGUCAAUAACAAAAGUUUCUCAAUACUUUGUUAUAUACCCUUUGUUGGCAAUGACAGAGGUCAAACGUUUUCUGUAAGUCUUCACACACUGUUGCUGGUAUUUUGGCCCAUUCCUCCAUGCAGAUCUCCUCUAGAGCAGUGAUGUUUUGGGGCUGUUGCUGGGCAACACGGACUUUCAACUCCCUCCAAAGAUUUAUGGGGUUGCGCACAUCGGCUAUGGAGAGCAUGAUCACACAUUUGUCCGGAACAGCUUCAUGCUCACUUCAGUGUUGCUUUGCUCGAAGAGAGCAUAAAAAGGCAUUUGCACCUUACUCCUGCUUCAAUUCUCUUUUGCUAGUCCUCCCAUGUCUUUUUUUUUACCCUUGCCUGUUUUCUGGACUCCUUACCCCGCCUGCCUGACCAUUCUGCCUGCCCUCGGGGAUGCCUGCUACUCUGUACCUCCUGGACUCCGAACUGAUUGACCUUUUGCCUGUCCACAACCAUUCAAGC